GACGAACGCUGGCGGCGUGCUUAACACAUGCAAGUCGAACGGAAAGGCCCUGCUUUUGUGGGGUGCUCGAGUGGCGAACGGGUGAGUAACACGUGAGUAACCUGCCCUUGACUUUGGGAUAACUUCAGGAAACUGGGGCUAAUACCGGAUAGGAGCUGCUGCUGCAUGGUGGGGGUUGGAAAGUUUCGGCGGUUGGGGAUGGACUCGCGGCUUAUCAGCUUGUUGGUGGGGUAGUGGCUUACCAAGGCUUUGACGGGUAGCCGGCCUGAGAGGGUGACCGGCCACAUUGGGACUGAGAUACGGCCCAGACUCCUACGGGAGGCAGCAGUGGGGAAUAUUGCACAAUGGGCGGAAGCCUGAUGCAGCGACGCCGCGUGCGGGAUGACGGCCUUCGGGUUGUAAACCGCUUUCGGCUGUGACGAAGCGUGAGUGACGGUAACGGGAAAAGAAGCACCGGCUAACUACGUG
This 468-nucleotide ribosomal RNA is filed under the name uncultured bacterium. RNAcentral describes it as "partial 16S ribosomal RNA". It matches the Rfam family "Bacterial small subunit ribosomal RNA", at positions 28 to 507 of the family's 1533-position model. The record is from RNAcentral.